UACGGAGGGUGCAAGCGUUGCUCGGAAUUAUUGGGCGGAAAGGGUAGGUAGGUGGUCUCAUUUGUCUGGGGUGAAAGCCUUGAGCUUAACUCAAGAAGUGCCCCAGAAACGGUGAGACUAGAGUGCUGGAGAGGUGGGUGGAAUUCCCGGUGUAGCGGUGAAAUGCGUAGAGAUCGGGAGGAACACCAGAGGCGAAGGCGGCCCACUGGACAGCCACUGACACUCAACUACGAAAGCGUGGGGAGCAAACAGG
Molecule: unclassified non-coding RNA, 253 nt
Filed under: uncultured Oligoflexales bacterium
Lineage: Bacteria; Pseudomonadati; Bdellovibrionota; Oligoflexia; Oligoflexales
Description: contains 16S-23S intergenic spacer region
Rfam family: Bacterial small subunit ribosomal RNA
Source: RNAcentral